Molecule: ribosomal RNA, 273 nt
Filed under: uncultured bacterium
Lineage: Bacteria
Description: partial 16S ribosomal RNA
Rfam family: Bacterial small subunit ribosomal RNA
Source: RNAcentral
UACGGAGGGGGCUAGCGUUGUUCGGAAUUACUGGGCGUAAAGCGCGCGUAGGCGGCUUUGUAAGUUAGAGGUGAAAGCCCGGAGCUCAACUCCGGAAUUGCCUUUAAGACUGCAUCGCUAGAACGUCGGAGAGGUAAGUGGAAUUCCGAGUGUAGAGGUGAAAUUCGUAGAUAUUCGGAAGAACACCAGUGGCGAAGGCGACUUACUGGACGACUGUUGACGCUGAGGUGCGAAAGCGUGGGGAGCAAACAGGAUUAGAAACCCUCGUAGUCC